RNAcentral lists this long non-coding RNA (2032 nucleotides) under Olea europaea subsp. europaea. The record is from RNAcentral. Lineage: Eukaryota; Viridiplantae; Streptophyta; Magnoliopsida; Lamiales; Oleaceae.
UCAGAACAAGUCAAUUCAUCAUAGGCCUGAACAAAUAUCUUGAAGCUCUAAACCAUGGUUUUGGAGUUGGCAUGAGAUUCAAGAUGCAGUUUGAGGUCGAGGAUUCUCCAGAGAAGAGGUUGCCACUUGCCAUGUAUUCAAAAGUAAAUCUCAUUGCUAUUGUCAUGGAAUUGAUCUAAUUUGUCCCUUUUUUUCCCACAUUAUCAGGUUCUCAGGUACAAUAACAGGAGUCGAAGAUAUUUCUCCUCACUGGGAAGAUUCUAAAUGGCGAUCACUGAAGGUUAGUGUAUUUCUUGAUGUUCUUUUGAUUAAAUUAGCAUAUGGAAUUACUCAAACUCUAUGCUGUUCUCGUGUUUUCAGGUUCAGUGGGACGAACCUGCAUCCAUUCCAAGACCUGAAAGGGUUUCUCCAUGGGAGAUAGAACCAUUUGUGGCUUCAGUUCCCACAAGCCUGGUUCAACCAUCGGCAGCAAAAAAUAAAAGGCCAAGAUUGCAUGUUGAAACCCCAGUUCCUGGUUCAACAUUCUUGCAUACCCUUUUUUCCCAAACUUUCUAGCAUUUUUAUGUAUUAGGACUUCAUUUAAUUUUGUUGCUAUUUCCUAUGUGGUAGAUACUCCAAGUUCAACAGCAUCAGCUGUGUGGAAUCCGUCCCGCGAAUCACAUCAAGUAAUGGGCUCUCUUGAAGAACAAAGGAGUGAACAAGUUGACACUGGUGGCACUCUCAUCAGAAACAGAAACGGCAACACUUCUGGAACUCUUUUAGAGGGAGACUGGCUAUCUCCUGAUGUGAAUUCGUCUCUUAAUAUGUUUUCUGAAGAAACAGAAGAGAGCAAAAGUGCAUCGGCUUGGUCUAUUUUUUCAAACUGUUCAGCCCCAAAUUCUGGAAAACGGAGUAAUAGUCGCAUUUCUUGCCUGAAUGAUGGGAGGAAAUUAGAUGCGUCUGCAACUUGCAGAUUAUUUGGUAUUGAUUUGAACAGCCCUUUGACGGGUGCUGCCCUUCUCGAGAAAUCCUCUCUAAAAUCAGUUGAUAAACUAAAUGAUGCUUCUGAAGGAUGCGUCUCAAAUCAACGGCAGCAGUUACAAGUACCAGUAAAGGAGGUUCCUAGCAGACAGAAUCACUCCACUAGAAGUCGCACCAAGGUAUAAUUUCACCUUCUACUUUUAACAACAAAGUAUUAUUGAUUGAGCGUUUACUGAAUUGAAAGAGUAAUUAAUAAUAACUAUUUGUUUCUUUGGUGUGAAAUACUUUGAGAAGGUUCAAAUGCAAGGUGUUGCUGUGGGUCGUGCUGUGGACCUAACUGCGUUAAAGGGAUACGAUGAGCUUAUAAGUGAAAUUGAAGAGAUGUUCGAAAUAAAGGGUGAGCUUCAGCUCCGACAUAAUUGGGAGAUUGUUUUCACUGAUGACGAAGGAGACAUGAUGCUUAUGCGCGAUUAUCCAUGGCUGUACGUAUUAUUUGUAUUUUUCAUCUAGACAUAUCAUCUACUUCAACGGUUAUAUGAUACUAUUAUUUUCUUGCAGAGAAUUCUGUGAUAAGGUGCAGAGGAUUUUCAUCUAUUCUAGCCAAGAUGUGAAAAAAAUGAGAGCAGGAAGCAAGCUUCCUCUAUCUUCGACAGACAACUGAAGGAGAUGCUUUAACUUGGAAGUUGGUGAAGAUUAAAAUUAAAUUAAUUUCACAUUUUCUUGUUCAUCCCUGCUUUUUCCUUUUAAUUUGUUUUUCAAUGGAAAAAGCUUCAGUUUUUCGCUGUUGUAGAGGUCUUGAGGAAUUUCUUGUUUGUUUCUCUGAUUCUGUGUCAUCAAGAUGGAUGGCUAUAGAUAUGGAUGUAGCAUCAGGCUAACAACCAAGAAAACUAGCUGUUUGCGACUAGAAAUUUUACGAGUAAUCGGGGGUGGGAUUAGGAUUAGAAUCUGUGUAUAUCAGAGGUGUUUCCGGUGGAUUUGGAUGUAAAUAUAAAUUUCUUGGCAUCUGGUUUAUAAAUUGCCAGGUUCUUUUGGAAAUGUGUACUUCAAUAAUCCAGGGCAUUUCAUUUUCUUC